RNAcentral lists this ribosomal RNA (468 nucleotides) under uncultured bacterium. RNAcentral describes it as "partial 16S ribosomal RNA". It matches the Rfam family "Bacterial small subunit ribosomal RNA", at positions 28 to 507 of the family's 1533-position model. The record is from RNAcentral.
GACGAACGCUGGCGGCGGGCUUAACACAUGCAAGUCGAACGGAAAGGCCCUGCUUUUGUGGGGUUCUCGAGUGGCGAACGGGUGAGUAACACGUGAAUAACCUGCCCUUGACUUUGGGAUAACUUCAGGAAACUGGGGCUAAUACCGUAUAGGAGCUCCUGCUGCAUGGUGAGGGUUGGAACGUUUCGGCGGUUGGGGAUGGACUCGCGGCUUAUCAGCUUGUUGGUGGGGUAGUGGCUUACCAAGGCUUUGACGGGUAGCCGGCCUGAGAGGGUGACCGGCGUCCUGGGGCCUGAGGUAGGGACCAGACUGCUACGGGAGGCAGCAGGGGGGAAUAUUGCCCAAUCGGCGGAAGCGUGAUGCAGCAACGCCGGGUGCGGGAUGACGGCCUUCUGGUUGUAAACAGCUUUCGCUUGUGACGAAGCGUGAGUGACGGUAAUGGGUAAAGAAGCACCGGCUAACUACGUG